UUUGCAACUGAGGGACCUGAGGCUCAGAGAGACUGUCUCACCAAGCUACGCUUCAUCAGUUCUGGGGAUGAGAUGUUCCACCAGGAGGAAAGAUCAGGUGUCCUGACCAUGCUGGUGGGGGCACCACAUUGUCCUUGCCUUUGUAAUGCCAGGAGGAGGAAAGCCAGGGACCAGCUUCAGGUAGAGGAAGGAGCAGAAGCUGUGGGCUGACUCACAAAGAAGAAAAAAAAAAGAAAAAGAAAAGAAAAGAAAAAAGAAAAAUCAAGGAGCAAAAUUGAAUGCCUUUGGGAACCAGGCUGGAGAACCUUUGUUAUGAAGCUGGCCAAGUAAGAGGCCUCACUCAGAUGCCAAUUAGAAAGUGCUCCUGAUUUUCUGCCUUGCUGGUAAGGAGAAGCCCUUACCACUCCAGCAGGACCUGGGUACCAAAACUCUAGCAUAGGAGCCUAAGCCUUCUUGCAAGAGGAGAAGUGACAACAAAUUUAAGUAGAGAAGAUGAAUAUCUGCAUGAGCCAAGUGACUGUGAAGAGGGCAAAGAAUUAAUAAUUGUGUAAUAAUGUUACUGAAUACUUACUGUGAGCUGCUUUCUAGAUGACUCCAUGAAUUUGUUUAAAUCUCCAACAAUCCUGCAAAGUAGGUACUGUUAGUAUCAUUCCUUUCUGAUAUAUGAGGAAAUUAAAGCACAGAGAAAAUGAGUAACUGCACCAAUGUCAACAGCUAGGAAGUGACAAGACAAGCUUCAAGUUCGUGCAGUUUGACUCAAAGGACCAUGUUCCUAACCGCUACAUUCUCCUGCCUCUUUCAAGAAAUGCUAGGUCUGCUUAGAGAAUUUGAUUAUUCACUGGAUGUGUAUGGGAAGAGGCAGAGUGAUCAAAUUCCAGGUUGCUGGCAUCAACAAUUGAGGGGACCAAAGAUCCACCAACCAAAGUAGAGCAUUUGGGAGGAAGAACUCUGCAAGGUGUGAGUCUGGG
This 968-nucleotide long non-coding RNA is filed under the name Heterocephalus glaber (naked mole-rat). RNAcentral's name for it is "lncRNA (ENSHGLG00100044033.1)". Lineage: Eukaryota; Metazoa; Chordata; Mammalia; Rodentia; Bathyergidae. The record is from RNAcentral.